Molecule: long non-coding RNA, 478 nt
Filed under: Malus domestica (apple)
Lineage: Eukaryota; Viridiplantae; Streptophyta; Magnoliopsida; Rosales; Rosaceae
Description: long non-coding RNA (MDOM_LNC006546)
Source: RNAcentral
UUGCUUUAUCUGCUUUUAUUUUCUCUGCUUUUGCUUUCUCUGCUGCAUGGUCCACGAGUCCCUUCCAAGGCUCGUAAUAUUCACCCACACUACAAUUUGUGCUUCUUUAAUAGCCUUAAAUUGUUGGUGGACAAGAUGAAAAGUUGGUGCCGAGAAAAUAAUCAAUAUUUGGAAAGUGGAGACGUUUGGUGCAGACAAAAUGAAGGGGCAUCUUCAAGUGCACUUGCCUUUAUUGCACCUGAUGGAGGUGGAGACGUUGGGCACAACGGGACCACCAAAGACGACGAGGUUGUGGCUUUUGAUCAGGAACAGCAUCUCUUCAGCACCAUCAUCUCUCCACCACCGGGGCCCCGGUCGAGGGCGUGCUCAGUGCACACAGCAGUACCAAAUUUGAAGCUAGAUCAAACCAAAACCAAAUUUGAAGCUAGAUCAACGAGAACAAAGUUCACUACUGGAAUUUGACUCACAUGACGGAACG